UACGGGGGGGGCAAGCGUUGUUCGGAAUUACUGGGCGUAAAGGGCUUGUAGGUGGCCAACUAAGUCAGACGUGAAAUCCCUCGGCUUAACCGGGGUACUGCGUCUGAUACUGGAUGGCUCGAGUCCGGAAGAGGCGAGUGGAAUUCCCGGUGUAGCGGUGAAAUGCGCAGAUAUCGGGAGGAACACCAAUGGCGAAGGCAGCUCGCUGGGACGGUACUGACGCUGAGACGCGAAAGCGUGGGGAGCAAACAGG
This 253-nucleotide ribosomal RNA is filed under the name uncultured bacterium. RNAcentral's name for it is "partial 16S ribosomal RNA". It matches the Rfam family "Bacterial small subunit ribosomal RNA", at positions 524 to 776 of the family's 1533-position model. The record is from RNAcentral.